ACCAAUUGCUUUCCAGCUUGAGGUAAAAAGCUACUGCAAAAGUCCAACAAUUGCAUCCGUUUUUCUUUCCUUGUAAAAACGCAGUUCAAUUCCCCCUUCUCUUCUCCUCAAUUCUUAUACCAACUUAUAUUUCCUUUAUCCAAGAGAGCUUUUGGCCCACGUCCUAAAUUUGUUUCCUGCGUACUCUAGAAUUUUUAGUUAGGAAUGUAGAGGUACAAUAAAUGGUGAGAAAUAUCUUAUUUAGUUAGUGGCUGAUGGAUAACAUCAUUUACCUCAAUUGUUUUUCCUUUUAUAGAACUAAUCUUAUCUGAAAUUCUAACUCUAGAAACAUUUUUCCGUCCAGCAUUUCACUAAGCCGCGCUCCUUCUGCUAGAUGCUGAAAAAGAAUUAUUAAGCAGUUUGAUUCUCACCAUGAACAGCCAUGAUAGUUAGCACUGGGGUUAUCAUUUGUUAUAGAAUGCUUCGUGGACCUAUCCGUGGAAGAUGGAUUAUAACCUGUUAACGUUUUAGUAUUACAAGAUAGAGUUUCAAGGCCUGAUUAACAUCUGGUGUCUUUAUCUUAUUUCCUUUUUCAAUUUGUAAAUCUGCAUUAUAUAGAAAGACGGUGACUAUGGAAUGUAGAAUUUGCUUGUAUGGUUUCUUGUACUACUAUUUAUCGCGUGAAACUAUCCUAGAGGAUGGUGAUGUGGUGGGUAUUAGUCUUCUAAUUUGUACUGAAACAACAUUGUACUUUUGUGUAGGAUGUGAACUUGAGGUUCCAUUUGUCUCACAAAAAUUGUUUUCCGUUCGAACAUUCUUUCACUCCG
Molecule: long non-coding RNA, 806 nt
Filed under: Olea europaea (common olive)
Lineage: Eukaryota; Viridiplantae; Streptophyta; Magnoliopsida; Lamiales; Oleaceae
Description: long non-coding RNA (OEUR_LNC001952)
Source: RNAcentral